This is a long non-coding RNA of Talpa occidentalis (Iberian mole), 399 nucleotides long. RefSeq lists it as uncharacterized. The record is from RefSeq and is a predicted model, not a curated record. The transcript has 3 exons. Lineage: Eukaryota; Metazoa; Chordata; Mammalia; Eulipotyphla; Talpidae.
GAUAGUGUCACAAAGAAGGUGACCUUUCCUAGGAAUGGGUAGGAUUUUAAGAGGCUGAGAUCACCAUGAAAGAGGACGGAGAGGUAUGAAAUACACAUUAACUGGAAUGUAUCAUGAGAAAGGCAAAAUCCAAAAAGAAAAAAAAGGGAAGAAAAGUACAAAGCAUCCUGGAGACCUGUUCUGCUUUUAGAGAAGCCAAGCCAAGAUGGAUGGUACUGGAAGUGGUCCUGAGAAGCAGAAUAUGAGAUGGUAUUUUGGAAGCUCUGUAAUGAAGUCCCGGUCACUAGUGGCAGACCCAAGCCAGUUAUCAGAUCCAGAAUCCAUUGACUGAGCCAGGUACUCAUCAGAAAGGAACAGCAACAUUACAGCAAGCAGGUCAAUACCCGGUCCUUCCCUGAA